RNAcentral lists this ribosomal RNA (430 nucleotides) under Actinomycetes bacterium. Its description in RNAcentral is "Actinobacteria bacterium partial 16S ribosomal RNA". It matches the Rfam family "Bacterial small subunit ribosomal RNA", at positions 355 to 776 of the family's 1533-position model. Lineage: Bacteria; Bacillati; Actinomycetota; Actinomycetes. The record is from RNAcentral.
UGGGGAAUAUUGGACAAUGGGCGAAAGCCUGAUCCAGCCAUGCCGCGUGUGUGAAGAAGGCCUUUUGGUUGUAAAGCACUUUAAGCGAGGAGGAGGCUACUUGGAUUAAUACUCUAGGAUAGUGGACGUUACUCGCAGAAUAAGCACCGGCUAACUCUGUGCCAGCAGCCGCGGUAAUACAGAGGGUGCGAGCGUUAAUCGGAUUUACUGGGCGUACAGCGUGCGUAGGCGGCUUUUUAAGUCGGAUGUGAAAUCCCUGAGCUUAACUUAGGAAUUGCAUUCGAUACUGGGAAGCUAGGGUAUGGGAGAGGAUGGUAGAAUUCCAGGUGUAGCGGUGGAAUGCGUAGAGGUCUGGAAGAAUACCGAUGGCGAAGGCAGCCAUCUGGCCUUAUACUGACGCUGAGGUACAAAAGCAGGGGGAGCAAACAGG